Eurytemora carolleeae is the source of this 1686-nucleotide long non-coding RNA. RefSeq lists it as uncharacterized. The transcript is spliced from 4 exons. The record is from RefSeq and is a predicted model, not a curated record. Lineage: Eukaryota; Metazoa; Arthropoda; Copepoda; Calanoida; Temoridae.
GUAAAUUGUUGUUAAUUAAAAUUAUUAUUUUAGUUUGGAGAGCUGUGCUGUUAGUGUUUCAUUAUCUCCAACAUCUAGACAUCUUAUUGUUGGAUUAACAACGAGAACAAGGAUUACACAGAGUGCUGGUGAUACUCCACUGAUGGCUCAGGUGUUCGGUAUUAAACUACCUGAGAGGGAAGGGGAGAGGGGUAGACUACUGCAUAGGAAGGAUAUUAAUCAGGUGGAACCUGGUAAUAUCAGCUUAAACUGUAUAAGAUGGAUUCCUGUAGCUGGACAAGGGCUGGUGUUUGCAACUAAUACUGGGCUCCUUAAGAUACUUAGAUAAUUCAAUAACAGGGGGAUAAACUUCAGGCUGGGAUAUGAACUUCAAGCAGGGAGAUAAACUGCGGUUAAGGAAAAAAUCAAGGGUGGUUUGAAAAUAAAUUUGAAUUGUGAGAAGAAACUUGAAAAAUGGAGAAUAGUUGUUAACCCUUAGAAGCAUGAAAUAACUUAUAUUCAUCCAGAUAAGAAAAAAUCACCAUGGAGAAGAUAUUUCCCGAACCGAUAUUCUGAAACCUCGAAGUCGAAAUCCGCAAUUGUCACCCUGAAACCAUGGAUGCUUGGAUGGAAUAUAUCUAUGAAACCAUUAAAGGAAUAUAUCUGAAAGCAUAGGAAUAUAUCUAUGAAACCAUGGAAGGAAUAUAUUUAUGAAACCAUGGAAGGAAUAUAUCUAUGAAACCAUGGAAGGAAUAUAUCUAUGAAACCAUGAAAGAAUAUUACCUAGGUCUGAACAAAUGAUAAAACUUAUUUUAAUAAUUACACAUUACAUUUAGGUUUACUUGGAUGUAGUAUAUGAAAAGUGUCGGUGUUAAUACAUAGUUCGUAAAUAUUUAAUAUAUAAACAUAUUUAAACCUAUGAACCCAAAUUGGGUCAUCCUAAACUACAUGUAGUCGCUAAUUUCUUAGUAUCUGCAAAAUAGUCGAGGCUAUCUACUCCAGUAUAUAUUUAACAAAAUUGUGUUGAAUAUCUAAAAUUGUCCCACCAUUAUAAUUAAGCUAAUAUUUACAUGAAGUUAUCUUUUUUAAUAUUUGUAUUUAAGAAAUUAGUAAUUGGGACGUUGCUAAAGUAGUAAAUGUGAUAAAAUUAAUUUUUUAAUUAAACAUGUCGCAGUUCGGAUUGAACCGUAACUUACUAAAAUUUGAAGAUUUAACCGGUUACCCGGCUUACCUUUACUGAAAAUUUGAAUUUGGUUAAUUUGACAGUUCCCUGUACAAAGUAACUCCUUCUAAACAAUUGAAACGUAAUUUCAUCCUUACAUCCGAUUACUCUAAAUUUUAGUUGGAAUAAAACAUUUCUAAACAAAAUACAAAUAUUCGAUUAAACCAAAGUUUUUUUUUCAACAGAAUUGAAAAUAUUAUGUUAAGAUGAUUGUAGAAAAUUAGGAAAAUUAGGAAAAUGAAACUAGUUAAAAAUUUCCGAAAAUUACUUGUCCCAAUCUAUUAAAAUUUAUUUUUCCUACCUCUUAUAUAUUUAAAACUGAAAAGAGGAUUUUCAACUUGAGUAAUAUAUUAAACUUGAUUGUACGUAAAUCCAGUGCUGCGUACUAUACGCAUAAGAAUCAUGUACAUAGCUUCCGUUGUAAAUUUAUUGUAUUAAUUUGCUUGCUGAUAUUUAAAAAAUUUCCAUAAAUAUUUUAUUUUGUA